UACGUAGGGUGCGAGCGUUGUCCGGAAUUAUUGGGCGUAAAGGGUGCGUAGGUGGUCUGAUAAGUUAUCAGUGGCAAAUCGAGGCUCAACCUCGUGGAAACUGGUAAUACUGUCCGGCUUGAGUGCAGGAGAGGUUAAUGGAACUCUAUGUGGAGCGGUAAAAUGCACAGAUAUAUAGAAGAACAUCAAUAACGGCGAAGGCAGUUAACCAUUCUGUUACUGACACUGAGGCACGAAAGCGUGGGGAGCAAAACGG
This 256-nucleotide ribosomal RNA is filed under the name uncultured bacterium. RNAcentral describes it as "partial 16S ribosomal RNA". It matches the Rfam family "Bacterial small subunit ribosomal RNA", at positions 524 to 776 of the family's 1533-position model. The record is from RNAcentral.